Cajanus cajan (pigeon pea) is the source of this 3235-nucleotide non-coding RNA. The record is from RefSeq and is a predicted model, not a curated record. Lineage: Eukaryota; Viridiplantae; Streptophyta; Magnoliopsida; Fabales; Fabaceae.
GAAUUUAAGCAUUUCAUUUAGGUAUUUCAUUCUUCCCUCCGAAAUUUAACAACACAGCUUUCCACUCCUUGCCCUAGCACACAUUCCAGACUCCCACGCCGGCCACGACACCUCCUUCCCUGUUAGCAAAAGGAAAGAAACAUGGCAAAUGAAAAUGAAAUUUUGCAUAUUGUAUGGGCUUGCUCUUGGACUUUGCAAAUCGCUUUACUUUGCCAUAUGGGUAGUCCUUUGAAGAGUUUAAUUGAAGUUAUAGACAACAAAGGAACACUAAUAGUUUAUUUAGAUCUUGCGGAUGCAUAUUCUUUGCUUCGCAUACCCAUACUAUGGACGGCCAUGGUUUUCGGGAACAGCAUUGGAAAUGCUUUAAUUGUUCAGCCAUUGAGUAUUUGUCAGCAUUCAAACAUAAUGCUGGUACUUACUACAUUGACUUACAUAUCCUUAUUAAAAGACAGAAUAUCUGGAGUUAGUGUCUUGAUUGGCUCAGUUGAAGUAUUAGCCCUCUUAAUUGUGUGUGGAGGGGCCAUUGUUGUAUGGCUACUUGUUGGCAUCAUAGCUAUUGGAGUUAAGUUGUUUAGGCUUUUCACAAAUAUGUUUCUUUGACCAAAAUAAUGUUCAAUAGGAGAUUUAGCAGUCAUUUUUUAGAAGUGAAACUAAAUUUUUAGUAUAUUAAUGCAAUCUUGUGGAAGUUUAUCCACUUUCAUUUUCUGAAAAAGGUGUCUAUCAUAAACUUGAUGAGAAGUUGAGCAUUUUUCUUUAAAUGUCAUAGUUUAAGAAACUAAUUCUUGCACAGAAAACUUAAUUACAAAACUUGAGCUUUACAAUAUAUAUAUAUAUAUAUAUAUGUGAUAUGAAGUGAAAAAAAAUUACUUGAGCAUAUAAUAUUCAAAAGAAUUUUUUUUAUCGAGAUGAAACUGAAAUAAAUCAACAACAUUCGUAGAGUUUAAAGAAAUUCAAGUUGUUUAUGAUUCAGCUAAUUGUAAAUUUUUAUGUGAUUGUCGACUUUUUAAUCUCGUGGAAUCCGUUUUUGUCACAUCUUUUGUGGCAUGAGAAAUGAGUAUAUUGAUUCUAUCCCUGAUAGUUUGAUUUUAAAACAACGGGCAAAGACUGCUAAAAGUGACCUUAUAACGGACAAAGUCUGCUUUUAUUUCCUCAGUUGGAACAUCAGAAAUUGAUCCUGAUAGCAUUGCAUUGGCUCGUUUUGGGGCUUUAUCCACUCUUGGUAAUAGGCUGUUUAAAUUGCUUAAGAAAACAGUGAGGUGUUUAAAGAGAUUAGGGGUGAAAUCUUGAAACUUACUGCUAAGGUUAUAAAACAAGGAGAUCAGUGCAUCAAAACCUCAUCUAAAACUAUUAUUGGUGAUAUGACGGUGCAUCAAAACCUCAUCUAAAACUAUUAUUGGUGAUAUGACGGUGCAUCAAAACCUCAUCUAAAACUAUUAUUGGUGAUAUGACGGUGCAUCAAAACCUCAUCUAAAACUAUUAUUGGUGAUAUGAUGGUGGACUAGUGGUGAAGACAAAAGGUGCUCCUUUAAAGAAUAAGUUAAGGAAGAAGAGGAGAUUAUGUUCUAAUUGUAGAAGACCUAGACAUGUUAGUUGUUACAAAAAAUGUCCAGUUUCAUGGUAAUAACCACCGAGAGAGUAUGAAUGUUGAAUGGCCUGCGGCUUUUAAUGGGAAACAGGGUAAAGAAAUCUUGUCAUGUCCUAAGAACAAUAUCAAUGAUGAAGGCUCAAAUAAGUCAAAAGGCUUGGAUGAAUAUAUUAUGGAAGCAGAGCCUACCAGCUCUUGCAAAUUGAAAGAAAAUGAGGGAAAUGUGAAUUCACAAUUCAUUUAAGGAAGUUGUUAGUGUUUUGUGGUUCACUAUUUGUUAGGAAUAAUGUUCGUAGUGCCAUUUUCCCUUGUUACAUUUUUCAUUUGCUUAUGAAUGAGAAUUCCUGAAAUAUUGAAUGAAAGGAUGCUAUGGAGUAUGCAGAAUGUUAGGCUAUUGCUAAGGAUUUUCCUCCAUUUAGAGAGGCCCUGAAGAAAAAGGGGCAUUGAAGACAUUGACCUUGUAAUGGUUAAUGCCUGGUGUGUUGGUUAUUACAGUGAAGCAGAGGGUCCGAAUCGUAGACUUUCUAUGCCACUUAUAUCUUGCCGAGCCUCAAGUGACUGCCCAUGGAAAAUGGCUAUGCAUGCCCAGUUGAGGCAUUUAUGUGCUUCUUGAUAUGCAAAACAUGUCAGUCAUUGAAUUUGAAGACUAUAAACACGUUUCUCUACCUCCCAUUGAUUCCUUGAGGAACUAUACACAUGGUGAAGCAAGUGGUGGAUCUGAUAGAAGUGAUAUAAAACCCUUGCAGAUUAUUCAGCUUGAAGGUCCAAGCUUUCGUGUUGAUGGGUCUUAUGUUGAAUGGCAAAAGGAAGUAAGGAUAGAAAAUGCUUUAAAUGUAGCUCCUUCUGAAAAUAUUUCACUAAAUGUUGAGAGAGCGAGCGAGCCAUAGCCAGAGAGAUUUUUGCAACCUGCUGCGAGCCACAGCCAGAGAGAUUUUUGCAACCUGCUGCGAGACAAAGUGAGAAGACGAAGUCCAAGGGAAAGAAAGAUGACACAUAAAAUGUUGUAUGGUAUAUGGACUCUUUCCUGGGGACUGCAAUUUGGAUUACUUAUCGCAAUGGGAAAUCCCUUCAAAAUUGCAUUCACAGAACAACGGCAACUGUUUUAAGUUUCAAGGAGGCAUGUUUUAUGCUUUUGACACCCGUACUGUUUACUGCACUAAUAUGUGGGAACAGCAUUGGAAAUACUGUAAUAAUUCGAUCGUCGUGUAUUUGUCUGCUCUCAAGCAUGCUAAUGGGGCUUACUGUAUUAUGUUACAUAUGGACAUUAUAUGUGCAAAUAUCCCAAGUUUAUGUUGAGUGGGGAUCAAAAAAAAUCUCAGCCCUUUUGAUUGUGUGGGCGGGUGCCGUUGUCAUAUGGCUGCUCAUCUGUUUCAUAAUGAUGGGAAUUAGGUUGUUUAAGAUUUGUAGUAUGUGGGUUUUUGCUAUUGAUAGAGAUGAACAUGAGAGUUAGCUGCCUUUAGGAAAACUGAAAGUCAAGUUUUAAUAUUGCUAUUUGCUAUUUGUUUUGAGUGUUAGCUGUCUCAGGUUCUUGACCACUUCUACCAUGCACUCUUGUAAAUGUUGUGCAUGGAUGUAUUAAAGAUGUUUUUACUAUUGAUCAAAUAAAAAAAUAGUUUAACAUUUGAGAUAUUUACCUCAAUUUAUUUGGCA